RNAcentral lists this unclassified non-coding RNA (248 nucleotides) under Hevea brasiliensis (rubber tree). The record is from RNAcentral. Lineage: Eukaryota; Viridiplantae; Streptophyta; Magnoliopsida; Malpighiales; Euphorbiaceae.
UCGGCGAUCGCCGAUGGCGAUCCGUCAAGAUCCACAUGCAUUAUCAAAUUACUUGACCAUUUCAAGCAUGCUGGCCCUAACGGGCAGCAUGUGUGUUUGGUCUUUGAGUUGCUGGGGGAUAGUUUACUUCGGUUGAUUCGGUACAAUAGGUAUAAGGGAAUCGGUUUGAGUAAUGUUAGGCAGAUCUGCGGAUCGAUCUUGUCGGGGCUCGAUUACUUGCAUUCCGGGCUUGGGAUUGUGCAUACGGA